This 453-nucleotide ribosomal RNA is filed under the name uncultured Spirulina sp. RNAcentral describes it as "bacterial SSU rRNA". It matches the Rfam family "Bacterial small subunit ribosomal RNA", at positions 8 to 506 of the family's 1533-position model. The record is from RNAcentral. Lineage: Bacteria; Bacillati; Cyanobacteriota; Cyanophyceae; Spirulinales; Spirulinaceae.
AGGCUUUGAUCCUGGCUCAGGAUGAACGCUGGCGGCGUGCUUAACACAUGCAAGUCGAACGAAGUCUUCGGACUUAGUGGCGGACGGGUGAGUAACGCGUGAGGAUCUGCCCUUAGGUUGGGGACAACCACUGGAAACGGUGGCUAAUACCCAAUGUGCCGAGAGGUGAAAGGUUAACUGCCUGAGGAUGAACUCGCGUCUGAUUAGCUAGUUGGUGGGGUAAGGGCUCACCAAGGCGACGAUCAGUAGCUGGUCUGAGAGGAUGAUCAGCCACACUGGGACUGAGACACGGCCCAGACUCCUACGGGAGGCAGCAGUGGGGAAUUUUCCGCAAUGGGCGAAAGCCUGACGGAGCAACGCCGCGUGAGGGAGGAAGGCCCUAGGGUUGUAAACCUCUUUUCUCUGGGAAGAAGAUCUGACGGUACCAGAGGAAUAAGCCUCGGCUAACAUCCG